UGAGAUAGAUGAAAAAAUGAUGAUGGAACUUGGCCUGUUAGGUUGUUACUGGAAAGUUCCUAAAUAUUCCAGUUUCAUUAAAUAUCCAUAAACAUUUGGGAUCUCACCGUUAAGUUUAUUUUCUAAAAGGUCCAAAUAUGUUAGUUGGGUGAGAUAGAUGAAAAAAUGAUGAUGGAACUUGGCCUGUUAGGUUGUUACUGGAAAGUUCUAAAUAUUCCAGUUUCAUUAAAUAUCCAUAAACAUUUUGGAUCUCACCGUUAAGUUUAUUUUCUAAAAGGUCCAAAUAUGUUAGUUGGGUGAGGUUCCACAAAGGUAGAGGAAUCGUCCCAUCUAAAUUGCAUUCUUGAAGGGAUAAAUGAGUUAGAGACUUCAAUUGACCUAUGGAAUAAAGAAUUUCACCUGAGAAAGGAAUGGAAGAGAGGUCCAAGUACCUUAGAGCCAUGCUCCAGUUGGACUUUGGAAGUUGACCAAUAAGGUGAUUAUAUGACAAAUCUAGUUUUUGAAGGUUGGGUAAAGAGAGGACGUCACUUGACAAAUUUCCUUG
This 544-nucleotide long non-coding RNA is filed under the name Trifolium pratense (red clover). Its description in RNAcentral is "long non-coding RNA (TPRA_LNC005249)". The record is from RNAcentral. Lineage: Eukaryota; Viridiplantae; Streptophyta; Magnoliopsida; Fabales; Fabaceae.